GUCCAUGGCCAUUUUAUCAGUGGGGAAUUGAUGUCCUAGGUCCAUUUUCUAAGGCUUCAAAAUCUAAAAAGUAUGUCAUUGUGGCCAUUGAUCAUUUGACUAAGUAGGCUAAGGCAGAAGCUUCAUAGCUAAUCACUACUGAUAAGGUGAUCACCUUUGUAAGGAAAAAUAUUUUUGCAGAUUUGGCAUUCCCAAAGUAAUUAUCACUGAUAGUGGCACUAAGUUUGGAAGCUAUAAAUUCAAAUCUUUCUACUCAAAAUGGAGUAUUGAUCUCCAAUAUGCUUCCACUUAUCAUCAAACCAAUGGAAUGACAUAAGUCACUAAUCAUAUCAUUUUGAAUGGUUUGAAGCGGAGGCUAGACAAAGCUAAGGGGAGGUGGCCAAAUGAGUUGACACAUGUUUUGUGGG
Molecule: unclassified non-coding RNA, 407 nt
Filed under: Hevea brasiliensis (rubber tree)
Lineage: Eukaryota; Viridiplantae; Streptophyta; Magnoliopsida; Malpighiales; Euphorbiaceae
Source: RNAcentral